Molecule: ribosomal RNA, 251 nt
Filed under: uncultured bacterium
Lineage: Bacteria
Description: partial 16S ribosomal RNA
Rfam family: Bacterial small subunit ribosomal RNA
Source: RNAcentral
GAUCCUGGCUCAGAUUGAACGCUGGCGGCAGGCCUAACACAUGCAAGUCGAACGGUAACAGGAAGAAGCUUGCUUCUUUGCUGACGAGUGGCGGACGGGUGAGUAAUGUCUGGGAAACUGCCUGAUGGAGGGGGAUAACUACUGGAAACGGUAGCUAAUACCGCAUAACGUCGCAAGACCAAAGGAGGGGGACCUUCGGGCCUCUUGCCAUCGGAUGUGCCCAGAUGGGAUUAGCUAGUAGGUGGGGUAGG